Molecule: ribosomal RNA, 254 nt
Filed under: uncultured bacterium
Lineage: Bacteria
Description: partial 16S ribosomal RNA
Rfam family: Bacterial small subunit ribosomal RNA
Source: RNAcentral
UACGUAGGGGGCAAGCGUUGUCCGGAUUUAUUGGGCGUAAAGAGCGUGUAGGCGGCCGGAUAGGUCGGUUGUGAAAACUGGAUGGCUCAACCUCCAGACGUCGACCGAAACCAUCCGGCUAGAGUCCGGAAGAGGAGAGUGGAAUUCCUGGUGUAGUGGUGAAAUGCGCAGAUAUCAGGAAGAACACCCGUGGCGAAGGCGGCUCUCUGGGACGGUACUGACGCUGAGACGCGAAAGCGUGGGGAGCGAACAGG